RNAcentral lists this ribosomal RNA (453 nucleotides) under uncultured Bacteroides sp. RNAcentral's name for it is "partial 16S ribosomal RNA". It matches the Rfam family "Bacterial small subunit ribosomal RNA", at positions 341 to 792 of the family's 1533-position model. The record is from RNAcentral. Lineage: Bacteria; Pseudomonadati; Bacteroidota; Bacteroidia; Bacteroidales; Bacteroidaceae.
ACGGGAGGCAGCAGUGAGGAAUAUUGGUCAAUGGGCGGAAGCCUGAACCAGCCAUCUCGCGUGCAGGACUACGGCCCUACGGGUCUUAAACUGCUUUUAUGGGGGGAUAAAGUCGGGCAUUCGUGUCCGUUUGCAGGUACCCCAUGAAUAAGGAUCGGCUAACUCCGUGCCAGCAGCCGCGGUAAUACGGAGGAUCCGAGCGUUAUCCGGAUUUAUUGGGUUUAAAGGGAGCGUAGGCGGGCCUUUAAGUCAGUGGUCAAAGCGUGUGGCUCAACCAUACCACGCCGUUGAUACUGGAGGCCUUGAGUGCACAUAAGGAUGGUGGAAUUCAUGGUGUAGCGGUGAAAUGCUUAGAUAUCAUGAAGAACUCCGAUUGCGAAGGCAGCUGUCCGGGGUGUAACUGACGCUAAUGCUCGAAAGUGCGGGUAUCAAACAGGAUUAGAUACCCUGGUA